AUUGAACGCUAGCGGCAGGCCUAACACAUGCAAGUCGAACGAGUGGCGGACGGGUGAGUAAUGUCUGGGAACCUGCCCGAUGGCGGGGGAUAACUACUGGAAACGGUAGCUAAUACCGCAUACCAUCGGAUGUGCCCAUAUGGGAUUAGCUAGUUGGUGGGGUAACGGCUCACCUAGGCGACGAUCCCUAGCUGGUCUGAGAGGAUGACCAGCCACACGGGAACUGAGACACGGUCCAGACUCCUACGGGAGGCAGCAGUGGGGAAUAUUGCACAAUGGGCGAAAGCCUGAUGCAGCCAUGCCGCGUGUAUGAAGAAGGCCUUCGGGUUGUAAAGUACUUUUAGCGGGGAGGCGUUACUAGCAGAAGAAGCACCGGCUAACUACGUGCCAGCAGCCGCGGUAAUUC
Molecule: ribosomal RNA, 406 nt
Filed under: uncultured bacterium
Lineage: Bacteria
Description: partial 16S ribosomal RNA
Rfam family: Bacterial small subunit ribosomal RNA
Source: RNAcentral